UCGACGAGAAAAAGGCUGCUCGUGUUUGUUCGUCGGAUGGACGUUGGAGAGGACAAUGAAGCAGCAGCGGCUGGAGGAUCUAUGGCUGCCGAAGAUGGAAUGUGAAGCAUCAUGUAUGGAGGAUCGUUUUUUUAUUGGGGUGGUUUGAAAAAAGAAAGGUGGGGGUGCUUGGUGUGCUGAAGGUUUUUAGAGGAUUAGGGUCUUUUGUGUGAG
RNAcentral lists this long non-coding RNA (213 nucleotides) under Nicotiana benthamiana. Its description in RNAcentral is "long non-coding RNA (NBEN_LNC025406)". The record is from RNAcentral. Lineage: Eukaryota; Viridiplantae; Streptophyta; Magnoliopsida; Solanales; Solanaceae.